RNAcentral lists this ribosomal RNA (600 nucleotides) under Escherichia coli. RNAcentral's name for it is "bacterial SSU rRNA". It matches the Rfam family "Bacterial small subunit ribosomal RNA", at positions 40 to 629 of the family's 1533-position model. The record is from RNAcentral. Lineage: Bacteria; Pseudomonadati; Pseudomonadota; Gammaproteobacteria; Enterobacterales; Enterobacteriaceae.
AGGGGGGAAGACUAUAAUGCAGUCGAACGGUAACAGGAAUCAGCUUGCUGCUUUGCUGACGAGUGGCGGACGGGUGAGUAAUGUCUGGGAAACUGCCUGAUGGAGGGGGAUAACUACUGGAAACGGUAGCUAAUACCGCAUAACGUCGCAAGACCAAAGAGGGGGACCUUCGGGCCUCUUGCCAUCGGAUGUGCCCAGAUGGGAUUAGCUAGUAGGUGGGGUAAAGGCUCACCUAGGCGACGAUCCCUAGCUGGUCUGAGAGGAUGACCAGCCACACUGGAACUGAGACACGGUCCAGACUCCUACGGGAGGCAGCAGUGGGGAAUAUUGCACAAUGGGCGCAAGCCUGAUGCAGCCAUGCCGCGUGUAUGAAGAAGGCCUUCGGGUUGUAAAGUACUUUCAGCGGGGAGGAAGGGAGUAAAGUUAAUACCUUUGCUCAUUGACGUUACCCGCAGAAGAAGCACCGGCUAACUCCGUGCCAGCAGCCGCGGUAAUACGGAGGGUGCAAGCGUUAAUCGGAAUUACUGGGCGUAAAGCGCACGCAGGCGGUUUGUUAAGUCAGAUGUGAAAUCCCCGGGCUCAACCUGGGAACUGCAUCUG